GCUACGGGGGCAGCUUUAUCCUCUUGUCAAUGUCCAGGUUUGGUUUUUCUUCAAAGAAGAAAGAUGAAUUUUCUUCAAAGAACAAAGAUGAAUUUUCUUCUUUGAAGAAAAAUCGAACCUGGACAUUGACAGAGUUACCUGCGGGC
Molecule: non-coding RNA, 146 nt
Organism: Marchantia polymorpha subsp. ruderalis
Lineage: Eukaryota; Viridiplantae; Streptophyta; Marchantiopsida; Marchantiales; Marchantiaceae
Source: the annotation of a GenBank genome assembly